AUGAUAUCAGUAGUGUUAUUGGGGGGGAUGUUAUCAGUAGUGUUAUUGGGGGGGAUGAUAUCGGUAGUGUUAUUGGGGAUGAUAUCGGUAGUGUUAUUGGGGGCGAUGAUAUCGGUAGUGUUAUUCGGUAGGGGGGUGAUUGGGACGAUAUCAGUAGUGUUAUUGGGGAGGAUCGGGACAAUAUCAGGGGCUAAUAUGGAGGGUUCAGGGCUAAUAUGGAGGUACCUCAAAUCAAAUUUAUUUAUAUAGCCCUUCGUACAUCAGCUGAUAUCUCAAAGUGCUGUACAGAAACCCAGCCUAAAACCCCAAACAGCAAGCAAUGCAGGUGUAGAAGCACGUAGCUCGUACCUGUAGCUCAUAGAGUUGAAUAGAGGGCACAUACCAAUGUCUCUGCCCAUGCUAAAACCAGCUUUGUGGCAAGUGAGCCCUCGAUCCAACUCUGGUUUAUAUCAAGGUUUUGGGAGUAGUUUUGAUCAUCACCAGCAUUUUUUGACGGUCACCUGACUUCUAAAUGAAGAAAAAAAACGAACGAACCAAGCCUGGCUUUGUUUUUCAAAUUUGAACAAACCCCCAAAUGCAAACGGUUUCUUAUUUUAUUUUAUUUAGACAUUUUCUUUGUGGUGUUGUUUAUUCUUUUUCUUCUCAGUUUUAUCUCAUGAACCAAUCUAUGCUUAAGUGGCCAUUUGCCUUGUAACGUUAUGUUUUACUGUGUGAUGGAUACAGUAAGUUAUAAGUACUGUGGAGUUUACAUCGUAACGAAGAUAUUGUUGAGUAACUAAAAAAAAUAUAUAUAUAUAUAUAUAUGACAAAAAAACGUGUUGCCUAAUGAUGCCAAUGAAAAGACUAAACUAUUAUUAUUAUUAUUAUUAUUGUUAACCAUGAAUAAUGUAAGACGAAAUAACCUGAAGUGUCUAGACGAAAGAGCGUUAAAUGACGUCUCAUUGUCCUCAUGUUGUUCUUCUCUUGUCGUAGAGCUAGUUGUCCUGAACCCUCUACACUGCUGUGUUAACACUACAUGUAUGGCUGCAAUUCAAUAAUGAAGAGAAUAAAUGGACACAUUUCAUCAAGACUAUAUAUUUUUCUACCAUCUCUAUUUUAACCCCCCCCCCCCCCCCCCCCCCCCCCCCCACCCCCCGAGUGAACCGCACCAGACGCUGUGAGGAGGGUGGAACACGCUGGGAACCUGGCACAGGGUCACGAGACUGUGAUGACAUUGCUUGUAACCAGGAAGUGGUCAUUAUGAUGUCAUGAUUUCCUCCAUUCCAUCGUGAUUGGCCACGAUCUGCUCUAACCCAGCGUGCUCUCGCCUUAUGUUAGACUGUGUCGGUUGUCGAUAUAGAUCAGACUUUUAAAUUACCAUUUUUAUUUUGAAUUUUAGAUUUUAAAAAAACACUUUGUAAUUUUGUUUCCCUAUACCGCUUUGAUGAGCUGCCAGACUGGGGUUACUUAUUUAUAGCAGGAAACGGAACGCUUAUAUUACACUUUUAUCAUCCAUGUCUAGCCAAUAAGUUUAAACGCAGGCCUGAGACCAGUAUCACUAAGGACAGAGCCAAGGCUAAUAAAUCUAAGGUCUGAUUUCAAAUCAGCUCUUAGAAAAAGCUCUGUGGACUGGUAACCUAGCAGGCGUAAAAAAAAGACGCCUGAGCGGGAGUUCCCAGGUUGAAAAUACUGUAUCCCUCAAAAGCCGGAAACAUCCGCUUGGUUGACCUGUCGGAGAGUGGUGGACAGGAUCUGAUAUGGCUUUAUGUCCGAGGCGAGAUGACUGCCGCUCGCAGCUCAUAGUCCUUGGACAAGCAGUGAGUUGUUAUGGAGGUCCGUUCCUGCCAGCGUUUUGGCAUUCAUCUCCUUCCAUAGAGUGAUCCCAUUUGGAACUCACCUGGUCAUUAUUCUUAAAAAAAAAAUGCAUUCUCAGUCCUGAUAGGCUGUUAGGGAUGCACCGCUCAAAGUAGAGAGAGAGACUCCAUUUUGACUAAUAUUAGCUACUGAUCAUCAAUCAAUCAAAAACAACCAAUGACUGGGCUGGUUGCCAAUGGGGAGAGUUUGACAGUUUGUUACCAUGCCGAUGCUUGGUAAUAGACAACCGAGCCCUUUUGACACGCUGCGGGAACAUUCUGUGCAAUAAUAAAUAAAGCAGUUUCUUGUGGUGUGACGGCGCCACUGUCUCGCUCUGUAGAGGCACUGUUCUUCAGGGUGGAUGGAUGUAAUGGCACGGUGUCCCCACAUGGUGGCGCUUUUGCUAUAGCCCGGAAUCACUACGUUUCAAUAUUGUAAGAAACAGAGCUGAAUUAAUUUUGGAUUUCCAGGCUAGCACUGCUGCUACUCCUAAGGAAAACGGUUCCAUUCCUCACUUUGUCCACUAGGUAGCGCUAGAUGUCUCUACCGAGGAUGCAGACAGUGUGUCCUCAUUUUCUAUCUAGUCUAUUCUGUGGUAGAAUGUGCUCCUUACCUUAGCUGGCCUGCAGGUUCUCAAACUACUGUCUUUAUAGCGCUUUGUUGUUUAACCGUUUGAUAACCGGCCCCACAAAGCCUGGGCUCCCUCCAUCUAAGACUUAACAAAGUAAGCUCUUCUGAUUUGCAUAAUAACUGUACUGUAAUGUUUUAUUUGUAAAAAAAAAAAAAAAGAUAUAAUUGUGAAAUGAAAAAAAAAAUGGUUGCAUUUAACUAAUUAAAUUAUGGGAAUUAAAAUUACAAAGAAUACCAAAUACAGUGUUGUGAGUGUGGUUAUUUUGUGUUGUGGGAGUGGUCUCAGCUAAGAGGGGGUGGCCCCAGGGAAGGGGGCCCCAGGGAAGGGGGCCCCAGGGAAGGGGGCCCCAGGGACGGGGGCCCCAGGGACGGGGGCCCCAGGGAAGGGGAGCCCCAGGGAAGGGAGCCCCAGGGAAGGGAGCCCCAGGGAAGGGGGCCCCAGGGAAGGGGGCCCCAGGGAAGGGGGCCCCAGGGAAGGGGGCCCCAGGGAAGGGGGCCCCAGGGAAGGGGGCCCCAGGGAAGGGGGCCCCAGGGAAGGGGGCCCCAGGGAAGGGAGCCUGGCAUAGCAUUUUCAACCAUUGUAAAAGGUAGACUCAGUGAUACAGAUAUACACCGUGUGGCGAUUUAAGACGGUACAAACCAAGAGGAUAAUCUCAACGUUUGUUGUCCACACGCAAUGAUAAUGAGCAAUGUUUUUGUGCAGAUGCUUCGCGAUUAAAAACGACCUGGUAAUGAAUGCAAACAAUAGCCCAGGCCAAUGAAUGUACAAUAUAAGGAGUAUAUACACUAAAUGUACAAAACAUUAAGAACACCUUCCUAAUAUUGAGUUGUCUCCCCCUUUUUCCCUCUCAGAACAGCCUCAAUUCGUCGGGGGGGAUAGACUCCACAAGGUGUCGAAAGCGUUCCACAGGGGAGCUGGUCCACGUUGACUCCAAUACUUCCUACAGUUGGCUGUCAAGUUGACUGGAUGUCCUUUGGGUAGUGGACCAUUCUUGAUACACACGGGAAACUGUUGAGCAUGAAAGACACUGCAGUGUUGCAGUUCUUAACACUCAAUCCGGUGCACCUUGCACCUACUACCUUAGCAG
Molecule: long non-coding RNA, 3551 nt
Filed under: Oncorhynchus kisutch (coho salmon)
Lineage: Eukaryota; Metazoa; Chordata; Actinopteri; Salmoniformes; Salmonidae
Description: lncRNA (ENSOKIG00005032489.1)
Source: RNAcentral